UCACGAGAACUAAUCUGUCUCCCUCCCCCAAUCAGUGAAACUGAUCUCCCCGUGCAGAAGCGGGGAUAAUAUCAUAAGACGAGAAGACCCUGUGGAGCUUAAAAUCAAAAAUCAACUGCUUCUCCCACCUAUACUAAAGAAACAUUUUCCGCAAGCCUGAUUUAGAUUUUCAGCUGGGGCGGCUGUGGAGAAAAAUAAAUCCUCCACGAAUAUUUAUGCUGAAAGCCACCGCGAUAGGCAUUAAUAAACUUAAUUUUAAUUGACCCAAUUUUUGAUCAACGAACCAAGUUACCCCAGGGAUAACAGCGCAAUCCACUUUCAGAGUCCUUAUCGACAAGUGGGCUUACGACCUCGAUGUUGGAUCAGGGCAUCCUAGUGGUGCAGCCGCUACUAAAGGUUCGUUUGUUCAACGAUUAAAGCCCU
This 423-nucleotide ribosomal RNA is filed under the name Leptobrachella minima. RNAcentral's name for it is "Leptolalax minimus partial 16S ribosomal RNA". It matches the Rfam family "Bacterial large subunit ribosomal RNA", at positions 2002 to 2597 of the family's 2925-position model. The record is from RNAcentral. Lineage: Eukaryota; Metazoa; Chordata; Amphibia; Anura; Megophryidae.